UUAAAUAUAAAAAUAUUUAAACAUAAUUUUUUUUAUAAGCUUAAGUUUUUAAAGAAUAAUGAUUGUUUUGUAUCAUGUAUCACUUUACAUGGUAUCAGAGUAAGAGAUUCUGAGUUCGAAUCACAUUAGGCUCUUUUCAUUAUUAAUUUUCUUUCAUUUAAUUCAAGUCUAUGUCAUAAAUCUAGUAGAAAGUUUCGAGCCCAAACGUGAGGAAAGUGUUCAAUAUAAAAACAUUUAAAUACCGUUCUCUAUAAGCUUAAAAUUUUAGAGAAUGUCUAGACGUUAACGAAAGUGUUAAAUAUAAAAACAUUUAAACACCGUUCUUUAAUAAAAUAUUAAGAUUUUAGAGAAUAACGGUUGUUCCUUGUGAUUUAAUAGGGAGGGGUGUUUAAUUGUGAUAAGAAUGGUGC
RNAcentral lists this long non-coding RNA (410 nucleotides) under Ananas comosus (pineapple). RNAcentral describes it as "long non-coding RNA (ACOM_LNC020354)". Lineage: Eukaryota; Viridiplantae; Streptophyta; Magnoliopsida; Poales; Bromeliaceae. The record is from RNAcentral.